UACAGAGGUCUCAAGCGUUGUUCGGAUUCAUUGGGCGUAAAGGGUGUGUAGGCGGCGCGGUAAGUCGGGUGUGAAAUCUCGGAGCUUAACUCCGAAACUGCAUUCGAUACUGCCGUGCUUGAGGACUGGAGAGGAGACUGGAAUUUACGGUGUAGCGGUGAAAUGCGUAGAUAUCGUAAGGAAGACCAGUGGCGAAGGCGGGUCUCUGGACAGUUCCUGACGCUGAGGCACGAAGGUCAGGGGAGCAAACGGG
Molecule: ribosomal RNA, 253 nt
Filed under: uncultured bacterium
Lineage: Bacteria
Description: partial 16S ribosomal RNA
Rfam family: Bacterial small subunit ribosomal RNA
Source: RNAcentral